AGUGAACGCUGGCGGUAUGCCUAACACAUGCAAGUCGAACGGCAGCACAGUAAGAGCUUGCUCUUACGGGUGGCGAGUGGCGGACGGGUGAGGAAUACAUCGGAAUCUACUUUUUCGUGGGGGAUAACGUAGGGAAACUUACGCUAAUACCGCAUACGACCUACGGGUGAAAGCAGGGGAUCUUCGGACCUUGCGCGAUUGAAUGAGCCGAUGUCGGAUUAGCUAGUUGGCGGGGUAAAGGCCCACCAAGGCGACGAUCCGUAGCUGGUCUGAGAGGAUGAUCAGCCACACUGGAAAUGAGACACGGUCCAGACUCCUACGGGAGGCAGCAGUGGGGAAUAUUGGACAAUGGGCGCAAGCCUGAUCCAGCCAUACCGCGUGGGUGAAGAAGGCCUUCGGGUUGUAAAGCCCUUUUGUUGGGAAAGAAAAGCAGCAGGUUAAUACCCCGCUGUUCUGACGGUACCCAAAGAAUAAGCACCGGCUAACUUCGUG
RNAcentral lists this ribosomal RNA (492 nucleotides) under uncultured bacterium. RNAcentral's name for it is "partial 16S ribosomal RNA". It matches the Rfam family "Bacterial small subunit ribosomal RNA", at positions 29 to 507 of the family's 1533-position model. The record is from RNAcentral.